RNAcentral lists this ribosomal RNA (492 nucleotides) under uncultured bacterium. Its description in RNAcentral is "partial 16S ribosomal RNA". It matches the Rfam family "Bacterial small subunit ribosomal RNA", at positions 29 to 507 of the family's 1533-position model. The record is from RNAcentral.
AGUGAACGCUGGCGGUAGGCCUAACGCAUGCAAGUCGAACGGCAGCACAGUAAGAGCUUGCUCUUACGGGUGGCGAGUGGCGGAAGGGUGAGGAAUACAUCGGAAUCUACUUUUUCGUGGGGGAUAACGUAGGGAAACUUACGCUAAUACCGCAUACGACCUACGGGUGAAAGCAGGGGAUCUUCGGGCCUUGCGCGAUUGAAUGAGCGGAUGUCGGAUUAACUAGUUGGCGGGGUAAAGGCCCACCAAGGCGACGGUCCGUGGCUGGUAUGAGAGGAUGAUCAGCCACACUGGAACGGAGCCACGGUCCAGACUCCUACGGUAGGCAGCAGUGGGGAAUAUUAGACAAUGGGCGCAAGCCUGAUCCAGCCAUACCGCGUGGGUGAAGAAGGCCUUCGGGUUGUAAAGCCCUUUUGUUGGGAAAGAAAAGCAGCAGGUUAAGACCCCGCUGUUCUGACGGUACCCAAAGAAUAAGCACCGGCUAACUUCGUG